RNAcentral lists this small RNA (140 nucleotides) under Paramaledivibacter caminithermalis. Its description in RNAcentral is "Clostridium caminithermale c-di-AMP sequence". It matches the Rfam family "c-di-AMP riboswitch aptamer (ydaO/yuaA leader)". From Rfam's summary of the family: This family represents a conserved RNA structure found upstream of the ydaO and yuaA genes in Bacillus subtilis and related genes in other bacteria. The ydaO/yuaA element is thought to act as a genetic "off" switch for the ydaO and yuaA genes in its native state. It is believed that the element may be triggered during osmotic shock leading to activation of ydaO, a predicted amino acid transporter gene, and members of the yuaA-yubG operon which code for KtrA and KtrB K+ transporters. Lineage: Bacteria; Bacillati; Bacillota; Clostridia; Peptostreptococcales; Caminicellaceae. The record is from RNAcentral.
ACACUACACUUGCUGAAUCCUGGAAUACCCAGGUACGGAGGAACCAAAAAAAAAAGGGGCUAAUCCAUGAAUGACAUGGUAGGGAACCUUCUAUCCCGAACCCGUCAGCUAACUUCGGAAGCAAAUAAUAGGAAGGAGUG